Molecule: ribosomal RNA, 1172 nt
Filed under: uncultured prokaryote
Description: bacterial SSU rRNA
Rfam family: Bacterial small subunit ribosomal RNA
Source: RNAcentral
UGAGGUAAUGGCUCACCAAGGCUAUGACGGGUAGCGGUUCUGAGAGGAUGAUCCGCCACACUGGUACUGAGACACGGACCAGACUCCUACGGGAGGCAGCAGUGAGGAAUAUUGCACAAUGGGGGAAACCCUGAUGCAGCAACGCCGCGUGGAGGAUGACGCAUUUCGGUGUGUAAACUCCUUUUAUAUGUCAAGAAAAUGACGGUAGCAUAUGAAUAAGCACCGGCUAACUCCGUGCCAGCAGCCGCGGUAAUACGGAGGGUGCAAGCGUUACUCGGAAUCACUGGGCGUAAAGGACGCGUAGGCUGUUUUGCAAGUCAGAUGUGAAAUCCAAUGGCUCAACCAUUGAACUGCAUUUGAAACUGCUAGACUAGAGUAUGGGAGGGGGAGAUGGAAUUAGUGGUGUAGGGGUAAAAUCCGUAGAUAUCACUAGGAAUACCUAAAGCGAAGGCGAUCUCCUGGAACAUUACUGACGCUAAGGCGUGAAAGCGUGGGGAGCAAACAGGAUUAGAUACCCUGGUAGUCCACGCCCUAAACGAUGAACACUAGUCGUCGCGAUGCUUGUCAUUGCGGUGAUGCACUUAACAGAUUAAGUGUUCCGCCUGGGGAGUACGGUCGCAAGAUUAAAACUCAAAGGAAUAGACGGGGACCCGCACAAGUGGUGGAGCAUGUGGUUUAAUUCGAAGAUACGCGAAAAACCUUACCUAGCCUUGACAUUGAUAGAAUACUGUAGAGAUACGGGAGUGCCCUUCGGGGAGCUUGAAAACAGGUGCUGCACGGCUGUCGUCAGCUCGUGUCGUGAGAUGUUGGGUUAAGUCCCGCAACGAGCGCAACCCUCGUCCUUAGUUGCCAGCAGGUUAAGCUGGGCACUCUAGGGAGACUGCCUUCGCAAGGAGGAGGAAGGUGAGGACGACGUCAAGUCAUCAUGGCCCUUACGGCCAGGGCUACACACGUGCUACAAUGGGGCGUACAGAGUGUUGCAAUACCGCGAGGUGGAGCCAAUCACUUAAAGCGUCUCUCAGUUCGGAUUGUUCUCUGCAACUCGAGAGCAUGAAGCUGGAAUCACUAGUAAUCGUAGAUCAGCAUUGCUACGGUGAAUACGUUCCCGGGUCUUGUACUCACCGCCCGUCACACCAUGGGAGUUGAUUUCACCCGAAAUUGGGAAGCUAACC